Molecule: ribosomal RNA, 22 nt
Filed under: Fusarium sp. F-265,963
Lineage: Eukaryota; Fungi; Ascomycota; Sordariomycetes; Hypocreales; Nectriaceae
Description: partial 18S ribosomal RNA
Source: RNAcentral
CCCGCCGGAGGACCCCAAACUC